This 400-nucleotide ribosomal RNA is filed under the name uncultured bacterium. RNAcentral describes it as "bacterial SSU rRNA". It matches the Rfam family "Bacterial small subunit ribosomal RNA", at positions 975 to 1375 of the family's 1533-position model. The record is from RNAcentral.
CUGGUCUUGACAUCCACAGAACUUGCCAGAGAUGGCUUGGUGCCUUCGGGAACUGUGAGACAGGUGCUGCAUGGCUGUCGUCAGCUCGCGUUGUGAAAUGUUGGGUUAAGUCCCGCAACGAGCGCAACCCUUAUCCUUUGUUACCAGCGGUUAGGCCGGGAACUCAAAGGAGACUGCCAGUGAUAAACUGGAGGAAGGUGGGGAUGACGUCAAGUCAUCAUGGCCCUUACGACCAGGGCUACACACGUGCUACAAUGGCAUAUACAAAGAGAAGCGACCUCGCGAGAGCAAGCGGACCUCAUAAAGUAUGUCGUAGUCCGGAUUGGAGUCUGCAACUCGACUCCAUGAAGUCGGAAUCGCUAGUAAUCGUAGAUCAGAAUGCUACGGUGAAUACGUUCCC